RNAcentral lists this transfer RNA (78 nucleotides) under Bacteroidota bacterium. Its description in RNAcentral is "tRNA-Trp". It matches the Rfam family "tRNA". Rfam says of the family: Transfer RNA (tRNA) molecules are approximately 80 nucleotides in length. The record is from RNAcentral. Lineage: Bacteria; Pseudomonadati; Bacteroidota. RNAcentral also lists the same sequence under 4 other names.
AGGCCAGUAGCUCAGUCCGGCUAGAGCACCGGUCUCCAAAACCGGGAGUCGGGGGUUCGAAUCCCUCCUGGCCUGCCA